GAAAAAAGUUGAAAAAUGAAGAUCUGAAAGAAGGAUGGGUGGAUUACCAUAUGCAUUUCCAAUCUUUGUGGUAGUCUUGAACCCAACAGUGACCCCUACACAAGCCAGCAUGAGAAGGUAAUUGACCUCAGGAAUGUAUACUUGCCCUUCAUACUUAGUCGAUGUAUGCACAAUCUUCACCCGAGGAAAGCACCCCAGCGAGAGCGACUGCUGGAUAAUGGAGAAAGUCCCGGAAAUCAUUGCUUGACUGGCAAUGAUUGAUGCGGACACAGCCACAACAAACAUCGGCCAGUACAGACCAUCUACACCAAAGAAAUUAACCCACCUAAAUAAACCAAUAAAAGAACCAACAAGAAGACAGAAAACAUACUCUAAUGCAAGAAUGCUUACGUGGUAUGGACUUAAAGAAAAUGUCACCAACAUCCUCAUGGUGUUUCCGAAGAAAAGAGGCUUGACCAGUAUAUGCCAAUACAAGAGCAGGGUAUGUGAUAGUGCACAUACUUAUCUGUAUCGAUUGAACUGUGAAGUGGCCAACAUCAGCAAACAGCGCCUCCGUCCCUGCAUUUCCCGAAAACAAUCUGAGAAAUUUCUCAAGUUAAUGAUGGAGGAGAAUUGAUUAAUGAUCCACAUCCAAACCUGUUAUGGAGAGGACGACCCCACCAAGGGAAAUCCAGGCUUGUUUCUUGUUCCUUCUGAAGUAAUCGAUGAUGUACUUGGGAUUAAUGGCUUUAACAACUGUUGGAUCAAACUUGAUGAAGUUGUAGACCCCAAUGCCGCUAAUUAACGCGAACCAAACACAGAUUAUUGGAGCAAAACUGUAUCCAACUUUGUCAGUUCCAAAUCUUUGAACCAUGAAGAGGCAUACCAAAAUGACUACUGAUAUCCAAACAAUCAUAUCUGUUUGCACAAAGGAAAAUGGUAUUGAAAUUAAAAUAAAAUUUAUUUAUUUUUUCAAAUUGAGGAACAAAAAUGAUCAAUAACAUGCUUAUGUAACCAUUUUUUUUAAAUUAUUUUAAGAUGAUAAGACACUUUUAUUGUAUUUAAUAAGUUAGACUAUUACCUUUGUAUAUCUGCCAUGACUAAGGAAGUGGACAAGUCAAAAUGUUAUUAAAAAUAAUUAUAUGAGGAUGUUAUUGUAAUUUGAAAGGAUUAUUUUAAAUUUGUCAACAAUGCAAAGUUGCAAACCAAUUGGUUUUUUUUUUUUUUUUUUCCUUUUUGUUUACUUAAAAAAAGGGGAAAGAUUCCAAGUUAAUGUGGCCAGUUGAGAUUUCCUAAAGUUAUUUAUAUAAGCCAUUGGAUUCAACACUUUUGUCCACACUUUAGUAGUCAAAAUUGUACGAUCUCAUUUAUUAUCAAUUAAUUUGGUCCAAUUCAAUUUCUUUUUUUAGGGUUAUUUAAUUAAAAGAAAUAAAAUAAUUACAAAAAUACCAUUCAUUUUUAUUUUAUUUUUUGUAAAAAUAUUUUUUUAAAAAAAUUUAUAAAAAAUUAUCCAAAUAUUAAAUAAAAAUUUAUUUUAGUAGUUGAUUUUAAAAGUUGAGAAAGAUUACCUUGUGUCAUUGAAUCCAAUGCUACCUUGAUGCCACCCACAGCUGAUAAAACUGUGACAUGCAAAGUCAAAUGUCAAAUACACAACAUGAAAGUGAAGGAGGAAACCCAUUUUCCUUGUCAGCUAAAAUCCAACUAAAUUAAUUUGCAUCACAAUUUUGGUUUUUGUGAAAGACGCCAAUCCUAAAUAUUCCUACCCAAUAAGAAAACUUAAUAAUAAAGAAGAAAGUUGAAUGCAUAUUCCCCCAUAUAUAUGUUUUUUGGUAACAAAAAUUUGUGAAAGGAAAAGCCAUUUAUUAUGAAAGAAGGAAACCUUUUAAUCUCAAACUAAAAAGGAUGAUGUAAAUUAUGGUGGCUUUUUACUUUCCAAAAGUAAGAAAAGUAUUUUCAAAUUAAAAAUUGUGAUGUGAAAACAAAGAUGAAAAAAAGAGCUCUUUUAAAAAAUACGUUAAUAAGGGGGAAUAAAGCAGAAGUAUUUCAUUAAAUUUGUAUGUAAAUGUAAAGAAGAAGGAUAAAAACUAAGCUAACCUGAGAUGCAAGGAGUGAGGACACCAUCACCAAUCACCAUGGAAGUGCCAAGCAUUGUGGCAAACAACAGAAAGAGCUUAGCAAAGUUGCUCUUCUCUAGCUUGGACUUGAGCUUUGAUGCCAUCUGCAGUCUUUUACUAGGCAGCUCCAACCGGAAAUUGGAGACUUCUCUGUCCUCAGCCUGUUGACUAGGGAUCAGCCCCACCUUGGCAUAUCGGCAUAUAAGAGAAUACAAAGCAAAUGUCCCUCCUGAAAAUAAUAAUAACACAAAUGUGAUAUUCAUCACCUAAGCUUAAUGGGUUAUUUUCCUUUUUCGGAGUUAUAAUGUGACCGUAUAUUUAGAGUUGAAAGGGAAGAAAAGAUUAUAAAAAAGAUUCAUUGGAUUGAGAGCACAACUGUUGAUCAUUGAUUAAGCACAUAAGAGGGAAGUUUCCCUUCCCCAUUUGGAGCCUGCAAGGUUAUUUUAACGGCUAAGUCACACAAUUUGUUCCAUCACAGUUGGCCUUCAAAGGUGUUUUCCACUCAUCCCAUCAAUGAUCAAGACUAGCAAAAAUGGCAAGAAAAGAAAAGGGAAAAAAGAAUCACAGUUGGUUUGGAAAAGUUUUAAGAUCAAAGUAGCAUCUUUCUAAUAAGAAAAGAUGAUGGGUUCAAGCCAUAAAAGAAAACAAAAAAAGGAAAAGGAAAGAUAGAAAAAGAAGAUCAAAGUAGGAUUCAUUUGAAUUAAAAUCAAAGGUCAUUCAUGAUGAUGAGCUCUCACCACCGCCAUUAUCAUUGGCCUUCAAAACAAUCAAGACAUACUUGAAGAGAGGGAUGAGGGUGAGGGUGUAGAAGAUGAGAGAAAGAACCCCCAGAAUAUCAUCAUUAUGUUUGACACCAUCAGUGAAAGUGCUUGCAUACACGUACAAAGGCGAAGUUCCAAUGUCCCCAUACACUAUUCCAAUGCUCUGAAACGCCAGGUGCAGUAUCACAGACCAGUUCUUGGAGCCCUUCAAAACAGAAAAUAAAAAGAUAAAAAUAAAUAAAUAAAAUAAAAUAAAAAAUCAAAUCUUCUUUUUCCCAGUUACCAUGCAUGCAGAUACAGAAUAACAAGAAAAUGAUAUCAGGAAGUGGGGGUGCAGACCCUGGAGCUAUGGUGGCUUUGGCCAUGGACAGUCCCGGUCUCCAUGUCUAAGGAGUCCAUACGACGUAGUUCUCCGCAUGAGAGUUUCUUUGAUUUGAGGCCUUGAUCAUGGGUCUCGUCAGGGCUGUUUACCACAUCAGAAGACAUUUUCUAUGAUCCGAAAAGGGCUUUGAUUAGCCUGGAGGUUUAGCAGAAGGAGGAGAGGCCAAUUUAAAGGCACAGAAAGGUCUGAAAGAAGUGAAGAAGAAACAUGAAGUUCAAGGUGGGAGAUGUCGAUGGACAUCCCCCAAAUGUUUGCUUCUUGGUUUUACGCUUCUUACCUUCCUUGCCCUGCCCUGACUUUUGGUUGACAACCGCAUGGUUGAUUUUAUGAAUUAGUAAAUGAAAUUAUGAGUGUCCUUCUUCCCCAUUUAUUUUCCAAAUUUAGUAGAAAACGCGUCAUCAGUGAAUGGUUGAAUGGUUGAUAUCAGAAGCCAAUAAUUUGUUCUUCAAGUUUGGCAUUUUCUAAAUUUAUGAUAUUUUUUAUGGUAUUAAUUAAAAGAUAUUUUUCAUGGUGAUAAUUAAAAGAUAUUUUUGGAAAGAUGACUUCCAAUUAUAUUCCUUUACAAAUUUGAAAAUAUUUUUUGAAUUAAUAUAUUACUAUAUUUAUUAAAUUCCCAUCAAAGAAGCCAUGUUGCUACAAUUUUUUUGGCUAUUCUAUCUAGCUACAAUUGAUACUAAUGGGACAAUCUUUUGAUGCCUUCCCAUGUUUCAAAGCUCAUAAAUCAUUCCCACUUUCAAUAUACGUUUGUGUGGAAUGUCAAACACCUUCUCUGUCUGUCUCAAAUUUUUCUUCAAGAUAUUGUAGCCAACAUUUAUCAAAACCCUCUUUCCAAAUCUGGAGCCCUUAUCUGCCAUCACCUCAGUCUCACCGAUCAAGUGCACUACACCCACUUGUGCCGCGCUAUCAAUUACUUCAAUAUCCUUCUUAACAUCCUGUUGAUGUCUUUUUUCAUCUAUUUGCUUUGAUUCUUCUCUCUCGUUCUCACCAUUAAUCAACCCAUCUUGCAGCUCUCCAGAAACUAUGUCUCCACUAUUGUGUGUUAAUGUCACGGUCAUCAUUAUCUCUCCUCUUAUGAACUCCUUCAAUCUUUCAACCAGCAAUCUCUCAAAAGGCUCUUCCUCAAAACGCACAUCGGUGUACCCAUACCUCACCACACAUCGGAACACAUAAAUAUCAUUUGGUUCUACCCUGCGGAAGAGGAAUCGUUCCUCCACUGGAACCUUGCUUAUGGGGAGAGACUUGAUUGAGACGAAAACAAGAACUGAAUGCAAUGCAGGCACAUUUUCCAUGUAAUGCUUGAAGAUGGGCGGGAUGCCAUGAACAAGCUCAGAGUAGAAGAUGGCCAAUCCUGGUAUUCUACUAAAGUUUGUGCUCACUACUAAUUCCUUCACCACCUCAGGAGAAAUCUUGUGAUCCAGAUCAUAAUAGUAUUUCCUCCGGUACACAUCAUUCCAAAUGUACAUUAUGGUCAUCAGAACUAAGGCAAAGGCCAAGGGUAGAUACCCUCCUUGAUCAAACUUGUAGAGGACUGAACUUAGAUACAGAAGCUCAAUGCUACCAAUGACCACAACAUAUGAGAUCACAAGUAGGAUAUGGGUUUUCCAUAUCAUGAUCAUCACAAGAACCAGAAAUAAUGAGGUGAGGGUCAUCACGAACACCACUGCAAUCCCUACACCAACAAAGACUUGCAAUCAUGAUCAUUUUGAAACAUCACUAAGCUCGAGAAAAGCUGAAAAAUGAAAAUAUGAAAGAAGAUGUGGGUAGAUUACCAUAUGCAUUUCCAAUCUUUGUGGUAGUCUUAAACCCUGCAGUGACCCCUACACAAGCCAGCAUGAGAAGGUAAUUGACCUCAGGAAUGUACACUUGCCCUUCAUACUUAGUCGAUGUAUGCAUAAUCUUCACUCGAGGAAAGCACCCUAGUGAGAGAGACUGCUGGAUAAUGGAGAAAGUCCCAGAUAUCAUAGCUUGACUGGCAAUGAUCGCCGCUGACACAGCCACAACAAACAUCGGCCAGUACAGACCAUCUGCACCAGAGAAACCCCACCUUAACCAAUAAAAAAACUAACAAGAAGACAGAAAACAAACUCUAAAGCCAGAAUGCUUACGUGGUAUGGACUUGAAGAAAAG
This 5363-nucleotide long non-coding RNA is filed under the name Vitis vinifera (wine grape). RNAcentral describes it as "long non-coding RNA (VVIN_LNC002043)". The record is from RNAcentral. Lineage: Eukaryota; Viridiplantae; Streptophyta; Magnoliopsida; Vitales; Vitaceae.